GGGGAAUUUUCCGCAAUGGGCGAAAGCCUGACGGAGCAAUACCGCGUGAGGGAUGACGGCCUAUGGGUUGUAAACCUCUUUUCUUAAGGAAGAAGAUCUGACGGUACUUAAGGAAUCAGCAUCGGCUAACUCCGUGCCAGCAGCCGCGGUAAUACGGAGGAUGCAAGCGUUAUCCGGAAUUAUUGGGCGUAAAGCGUCCGCAGGUGGCCUUUCAAGUCUGCUGUCAAAGACCAGAGCUCAACUCUGGGCCGGCGGUGGAAACUGGGAGGCUAGAGUACGGUAGGGGUAGAGGGAAUUCCCAGUGUAGCGGUGAAAUGCGUAGAGAUUGGGAAGAACACCAGUGGCGAAGGCGCUCUACUGGACCGAAACUGACACUCAGGGACGAAAGCUAGGGGAGCGAAAGGGAUUAGAUACCCCUGUAGUC
This 424-nucleotide ribosomal RNA is filed under the name uncultured cyanobacterium. RNAcentral's name for it is "bacterial SSU rRNA". It matches the Rfam family "Bacterial small subunit ribosomal RNA", at positions 356 to 795 of the family's 1533-position model. The record is from RNAcentral. Lineage: Bacteria; Bacillati; Cyanobacteriota.